GAUGAACGCUGGCGGCGUGCUUAACACAUGCAAGUCGAACGAAACACCUUAUUUGAUUUUCUUCUGAACUGAAGAUUUGGUGAUUGAGUGGCGGACGGGUCAGUAUCUCGUUUUUAACCUGCCCUGUACAGGGGGAUAACAGUCAGAAAUGACUUCUAAUACCGCAUAAGACCACAGCACCGCUUGGUGCAGGGGUAAAAACUCCGGUGGUACAGGAUGGACCCGCGUCUGAUUAGCUGGUUGCUGAGGUAACGGCUCACCAAGGGGACGAUAAGUAGCCGGGUAGAGAGAGUGAACGGAGACAUUGGGACGGAGACACGGCCGAAAAUACUACGGGAGGAAGCAGUGGGGAAUAUUGCAAAAUGGGGGAAACCAUGAAGCAGCGACGGCGGGUGAGUGAAGAAGUAGGGAGGUAAGUAAAGCUCGAUCAGAAGGGAAGAAAAUGACGGUACCUGACUAAGAAGCCCCGGCUAACUACGUG
RNAcentral lists this ribosomal RNA (481 nucleotides) under uncultured bacterium. RNAcentral's name for it is "partial 16S ribosomal RNA". It matches the Rfam family "Bacterial small subunit ribosomal RNA", at positions 28 to 507 of the family's 1533-position model. The record is from RNAcentral.